Molecule: ribosomal RNA, 412 nt
Filed under: bacterium QLW23-isolate2
Lineage: Bacteria
Description: SSU rRNA
Rfam family: Bacterial small subunit ribosomal RNA
Source: RNAcentral
CCUGGCUCAGAGCGAACGCUGGCGGCAGGCCUAACACAUGCAAGUCGAACGGACUCUUCGGAGUUAGUGGCGGACGGGUGAGUAACACGUGGGAACGUGCCUUUAGGUUCGGAAUAAGCCCGGGAAACUGGGUCUAAUACCGAAUGUGCCCUUCGGGGGAAAGAUUUAUCGCCUUUAGAGCGGCCCGCGUCUGAUUAGCUAGUUGGUGAGGUAAAGGCUCACCAAGGCGACGAUCAGUAGCUGGUCUGAGAGGAUGAUCAGCCACACUGGGACUGAGACACGGCCCAGACUCCUACGGGAGGCAGCAGUGGGGAAUCUUGCGCAAUGGGCGAAAGCCUGACGCAGCCAUGCCGCGUGAAUGAUGAAGGUCUUAGGAUUGUAAAAUUCUUUCACCGGGGACGAUAAUGACGUA